GACGAACGCUGGCGGCGUGCCUAAUACAUGCCAGUCGAGCGCAGGAAGUCAUCCGAACCCUUCGGGGGGACGUUGACGGAAUGAGCGGCGGACGGGUGAGUAACACGUAAAGAACCUGCCCUCAGGUCUGGGAUAACCACGAGAAAUCGGGGCUAAUACCGGAUGGGUCAUCGGACCGCAUGGUCCGAGGAUGAAAGGCGCUCCGGCGUCGCCUGGGGAUGGCUUUGCGGUGCAUUAGCUAGUUGGUGGGGUAAUGGCCCACCAAGGCGACGAUGCAUAGCCGACCUGAGAGGGUGAUCGGCCACACUGGGACUGAGACACGGCCCAGACUCCUACGGGAGGCAGCAGUAGGGAAUCUUCCACAAUGGACGAAAGUCUGAUGGAGCAACGCCGCGUGAACGAUGAAGGCCCUCGGGUCGUAAAGUUCUGUUGUAAGGGAAGAACAAGUGCCGCAGGCAAUGGCGGCACCUUGACGGUACCUUGCGAGAAAGCCACGGCUAACUACGUG
Molecule: ribosomal RNA, 508 nt
Filed under: uncultured bacterium
Lineage: Bacteria
Description: partial 16S ribosomal RNA
Rfam family: Bacterial small subunit ribosomal RNA
Source: RNAcentral